AUUGAACGCUGGCGGCAGGCUUAACACAUGCAAGUCGAGCGGGGGAAGGUAGCUUGCUACUGGACCUAGCGGCGGACGGGUGAGUAAUGCUUAGGAAUCUGCCUAUUAGUGGGGGACAACAUCUCGAAAGGGAUGCUAAUACCGCAUACGUUCAACGGGAGAAAGCAGGGGAUCUUCGGACCUUGCGCUAAUAGAUGAGCCUAAGUCGGAUUAGCUAGUUGGUGGGGUAAAGGCCGACCAAGGCGACGAACUGGAGCGGGUCUGAGAGGAUGAGCCGCCACGCUGGGACGGAGACACGGCCCAGACUCCUACGGGAGGCAGCAGUGGGGAAUAUUGGACAAUGGGGGGAACCCUGAUCCAGCCAUGCCGCGUGUGUGAAGAAGGCCUUAUGGUUGUAAAGCACUUUAAGCGAGGAGGAGGCUCUUUUGGUUAAUACCCAGGAUGAGUGGACGUUACUCGCAGAAUAAGCACCGGCUAACUCUGUGCCAGCAGCCGCCGUAA
This 501-nucleotide ribosomal RNA is filed under the name uncultured bacterium. RNAcentral describes it as "partial 16S ribosomal RNA". It matches the Rfam family "Bacterial small subunit ribosomal RNA", at positions 30 to 523 of the family's 1533-position model. The record is from RNAcentral.